GCAUCCCGUACCCUCUCUGUGUUGCUCUCGUUCGCGUCCCCCGUUUUUUUUUGUACAUGUAUUUAUUUAUUUAUUUAUUUAUUUCAUUUUGGAGCGUCCAUGUUGUUAUUGUUGUUGUGGUGGUGGUUCCAAACACAAACCUGUGUUUGUUUUGCCUAGUUUUGUUUCCCUUCCGGGAAAUGUAAUUGUUUUGUCUCCGUAUUUUUUCCCCUGCGAAACGUAAUUUGCUUAUGUAAUUUUGCUCGUUGAGCGGGUUGGUGUAAUUGACACGUGGCGUGUUGCUGAGGUCGAUGGUUGAUGGCACUUGUCGUCGUUGCUGUUUUUGACCCUGUGGACGUAUAAGGUUAUGUCGUCGCUGACCUUUGUGGCUCCGGCUCAUGAGCGUUGUUUUUUUUUCUUUCUUUUUUUGCUGACCGCGUGAGGACUUUGGGGUAUGAGGAGUGUUUUCAGAUUAAGACGGGAAUACGGAGAUGAAAAUGGUGUGAAGAAGGACUGACGUGAGCCCAGGGAGAAAGAGAUGGACAGAGUCACGGACGGAUAUACUAACUUUUUUUUGUUGGAAUACUGCAUGACGCUUGUCUCUUUUACUUCCCUUUCAAUCUUUUUUUUAUGUAUUUGUUUUGUCCUCUCCUGUAGUCUUUCUUUCUCUAAUUUCUUUCUUUUCUUUCCAUGUUUGUCGGCUUUGACUAAUAUUCUAAUUUUUUCCUUAUUCGCUCAAUUUGUUUCAACUGACCUGCUAACAAUUGUAUUAGGAUGUUUCUAUGUCAUUACCAUCGCUGCCCCUUUUAGCGAUAGUAGCAUAGUUUUUCCUCUACUAACUCUGUCACAUGCUACCCUUCAUUUUCUCUCACCAUAACUGAGUCCAUCAAUGUCCCUCCUCCGUCUCUCCCCCCCUCUCUCUGUCUCCCUGUCUCUCUGUGUGUAUGUGUGUGUGUGUGUGUGUGUGUCUCUCUCUCUCUCUCUCUCUCUGGCUCUAUCAGCACACCAUCCUCUCACUCCUCCUACUAUUUCAGUCCUGCUCAGCAGAGACUCAGCACAGGAACUUUGAGCAGGUGUGGAGGAGUGAGCAGCGGAGCGAUGGAGGGAUGGAGAGAGCGAGAAAAGGAGGGGUGGAGGGAGAGAGGGAGGGAAGGAGACAGACAGAGGGGGAGGAACGGCGUGCAGGCUAGCUGACGCUUGUCCAUUCAGACAUUCAGACAGUCUUUCUCUGCCUUUCAUUGUCGCUGUCAGGGCGCCGUUUUGUUUUUUUAUGCCAAGUUGUUUUUCUUUUUUUGUUUAUUACGUUUUUUUUCCUUGCCCUCAAAUUGAUCUUUUUUUCAAUCGUUUUUUUUUUUCUUUGCUAAGAACGAGAAACUUGAUGUCCCAUUUGCACGAGCAACAAGGAAGCAGCGUAAUUUCUUUUCCUUCUCUGCUCCUUUUCUCUGCCUCCCACCCUCUCCUGUCCUGUCCUGUCCUCUCCUCUCCUCCCCUCUCCUUUCUUCUCUUUUCCUGUCCUCUCUGCAUCCUUAAACUCAAAUGCUGAAUCAGCUGGAGACGAACGGACGCUCUGCACAACGACCACCACCACCCCCACCCCCAUCCCCACCCCCUGUUCCCCCCAUCGACCACCCCCAGCCCACUGCCACCCAUCCCCUCCUCUGCCCACCCUCCACCUGAUUCAGCCACAGCUAGCACCCCAUGGAACACCACCCAUCCAGCAUAAGACGCACGAGGGGGGGUCUCGCUCACUACCUGACAGCUGCCUUCAAUAGAGGUUAAACAGAGAGUGAACCGCCCACUGUACACAGAGUUGAAACCCCUCCUCUGCACCUCUUCUCCUCCUCUCCCCCUCUCCUCUCCUCUCCUCUCCUCUCCUCUCCUC
Engraulis encrasicolus (European anchovy) is the source of this 1861-nucleotide long non-coding RNA. RefSeq lists it as uncharacterized. Lineage: Eukaryota; Metazoa; Chordata; Actinopteri; Clupeiformes; Engraulidae. The transcript has 4 exons. The record is from RefSeq and is a predicted model, not a curated record.